RNAcentral lists this small nuclear RNA (131 nucleotides) under Chelonoidis abingdonii (Abingdon island giant tortoise). Its description in RNAcentral is "U4 spliceosomal RNA (ENSCABG00000017115.1)". It matches the Rfam family "U4 spliceosomal RNA". Rfam says of the family: U4 small nuclear RNA (U4 snRNA) is a component of the major U2-dependent spliceosome. The record is from Rfam by way of RNAcentral. Lineage: Eukaryota; Metazoa; Chordata; Testudines; Testudinidae.
AGCUUUGCACAGUGGCAGUAUCAUAACCAAUGAAGUGAAUCUGAGGGUGUGAUUAUUGCUACUUGAAAAUCUGCUCCUCUCCCCCUUUCCUGGUGGUAGAUGUACAGUACUACUGUAGACAGCAGAAACUG